RNAcentral lists this long non-coding RNA (418 nucleotides) under Linum usitatissimum (flax). RNAcentral's name for it is "long non-coding RNA (LUSI_LNC007030)". The record is from RNAcentral. Lineage: Eukaryota; Viridiplantae; Streptophyta; Magnoliopsida; Malpighiales; Linaceae.
AAGGUUAUACAUCAAUUGGUUUCGUAUGAGAUUUCAGAUAUAAGUCUUAUAAUCGGUCUACACAUAUAACUCUCGUCAGGUGGGAUGCAAAUGAACUAGAGAUGCUUCCAAAAUACAUGCAGAUAUGCUUCAUGGCCGUCUACAACACCACGAAUGAACUUGCCUACCACACCUUAAAACAGCAGGAUUUCAACUGUUUGCCUUACAUUAGACAAGCAGUAAGCCACGUAGUUAAUUAAGCAACUGGUGAUCAUAAUUAAUUAAGCUCAUGCAUCCCAACAAAGCUAAUUAAUUAAGUGUGUGUUAAUUACUUUGGCAGUGGCAACAACAGUGUAGAUUGUACCUGGAAGAAGCCAAGAUGUUCCACACCGUUGGAUCGCACCAAACAUUUGAGGAAUAUUUGGAAAACGGUCAGAAC